Columba livia (rock pigeon) is the source of this 1928-nucleotide long non-coding RNA. RefSeq lists it as uncharacterized. The transcript has 2 exons. The record is from RefSeq and is a predicted model, not a curated record. NCBI's taxonomy places the organism in Eukaryota, Metazoa, Chordata, Aves, Columbiformes, Columbidae.
AUGGAGCAUGGCCUUGAACCCGUGCCGGUCGUACACGGUCAGCGGGCAGAUGCUGCCUGCAGGGGCGAGAGGAGAAUAGAAACAAAGCAUGGAUUCCCUUCCCUUCUGGGGGCAGAACAGCAAGGAGGGGAUAAAGAACAGCAAAAAAGAAAGGGUUUUCUCCACAUUUACUCUCCGAGCAGCACUUCCCUUCCGGACACCGCUGGUCCCCGACAUGUGGGAGCAGAGCGUGAGCGCUGCCAGAUGCUCGUUACCUGUGACACCCGUGGGGCCGGGGGCUGAGCCAUCUGCACCCCCGUGUUCGUGGCCAGCGACCACCCGCCUGUGCCGCCCCAGCGCCUGCAUGAGCUCGUCAUUGGCCUGCAGAAUUUCAGCUGGAAACAAGACAAGAAACAAAAUAUUGAUGUUCUAGGAGGGGAGUCAGAUCCCCAGCCUUUCCAGACUGCUCCUGAGGAAGGUACUGUGCACCCAUGGACCUGCCUGGAGCAUGGGCAGGUGGGACAACCUCCCUGCAGCUCCCAACUGCUUUUCAUUCCACUUUCUGAAGUGCAGCAUUUUGCACAUCCAUCUGCUGAUUUCUGGCCUCUCUCUAGUUACCAUGAUCACUUUGAAAUCUGAUCCUGUCUCCAGAGCACUGACAAUUCCUGCCACCUCUGUGCACUUUAUCAUUCUCUGUGGGUUCUCUGAGUGUACCUGAGUCUAUAAUCCAGGGCUGCGCAGCUGAAGAACCCCGGCAUUCAUGGGUAGGAAUGAGAUGUUUGAGUCACAGCUGAGCUCUUAGGUUUGCUGUUUAAGAUGCCUAUUCAGCAAGGCAUCACUUCGGAAUAGAAAUCCAAGGACAGAGUUGGCUCUUACCUAGAGCCUCAUCGUCAUCAGCUGUCUCACUGGCAAGGCGGAAGAGCAGCGGCCGAAGCUUCUCGCAGCGCUGAAACAGAGUCUGUGGAAGGAAACAUUUCAUGUCAUUGCUCAGGAGAUCCCAGACACUCUCACUUCUCUGUCUCUGUGACCACAUACAAGCAAUGCUGCCUCUAGAAAAAGAUGCACUUUCUGCAUGCAGAAAUGUGUCCAUGUACAGCAGCUGCACUCCCAACAGCAGCCGACUCCUGACUGUGCUGUCACACACAGACACAGUUCCUACCUACAAAAAUUCACUCAUUUAAAGUUUGUUCGUUUUGUUUGUUUUGUUUUGUUUUUUUAAUUUGAGAGUCUGGUUGACAUCCUAGUGGAGUUUCAGGUAUUUAAAACCAUAAAGCUAUUCUGACAGCCCUAUUAGUGACAUCAAACGUUUCCUCAGUUCAUUGACAGGUAUGAACAGCAGCAGACCAGGAACUCUGGGCAGAAAAAAGGGGAAUCACAGAAUCCAGAGCACAAGCUGAAGAACCCAGAGCUUUGUGCUUCUCUGGUCAGAGCUUGUCACACCCACAGAGCCAUGCCUGCCACAGGGGCUCCGUCUGCUCCAACACUGCUGCAACAAGAACCAUUUCCCCAUCAGACACCACACAAAGAGCAGCUGAACUUGGCAGAAACUCCAAGCAGCACAGUAGGACACAGUUUCAUCCCAGUGUCCGUUACACUGGUGGGACGGACCAUUAUCCAUCAAUGCUGUUGGAAACUCUUUCUGCCGUGGUUGUGCUCUUGCCAUGGCAGAAGCUGAGUACACCGCACUGCCCUCUAAGUCCUGUUGCCCGAGGCCCUCCCAGCCACGGCCAGACAAAAGAACCUCUUACGCAGGAAAAAGCAUAUUUACUUGUAGGGUCUCCUGGUCAGAUUUGGAUAAUUCUUGUCUCCUGUAGCUUUCCAGCAAUUCGUCCAUACGUUUAACAUUAUCAGAAACUUCACUGAUGGCAUUCGCUCUUCUGGAUGCCUUAGCUGACUUUUCUUGUUCCUUUGAUGAAAAAUGAAAUAAAAGCAGAUGAUGAUUUGGCUGA